AAAGCAUUGUUCUUAGUUCUCCAGGUGUUUAGAGAAAUUCUUGUACAGUUACAAACAGUGGUAGAUUAUUAAAUGUUGUAUUUGCAGAGAAUGUUGCUUGCAUAGCAAUUCUAUUAUAAAAUCGCAAAGCUUAGAAAGGGAAAUGAUUAACUAAAAUUGGUUCAUAUGAAUAAUUUCUGUCCUCCUUAUACAGAAGACCUGUGAAUCUUGCCUUUCUACAAAGAUUUUUCAAUGUAAAGUUUCAGAAAAUCAGGCUAAUAGGAUCAGUUCAGAUAAUUUGAGUGAUGACUAGAAAACCUUUUUAUUUUCUCUCUCGAUCUGCAGUGUCCUUGCUUACUUGAAUUAGUAUGUAUACAGUUAGGAUUAGAAUGGGGUUCUAGAUGGGUAAAGUAGAUUCACACUUUAAAAAAAAAAAAAGUCAAGCAAAAAAAUAGCACUACUGCCAACUGAAUCUUCUGGUUUUUGACAAUGCUUGCUUAUAUGGAAAGUUACUGAAGACAAUAUGGAAGACUUAUGUCUUUGAAACAGCAUCAGGAUCAGAGCUGAAGUGAUGGCAAGCUGGAAACAGGCUGUAAUGAGCUGAAAAGAAGGAGCAUGAAGUGAAGUACACCUGUGGGCUCCAUGCUUGCAGCUGCCUGAGAUAGUCAUCCAAAUAUGCCACCCUGCCUCUACCAGCCUGCCAACAGAAGCAGUGUGUUCAUGCUGGGCUUUUCAGCUGUGUGGCAGUGCCACAUAGACCUUCUGUGACUCAGCCAAAGACGAAGUUCAUGUACAAGAAGUACAUCUCAGGUCUGGGUUUUCUUGUUUGGCUUUUUAUUCAUAGGUACAUAGCACCAAAAUGUUUCUUCUAAGUGUUCUUGCUGAAAGCUGUUCAAACGUGUAUUGUCUGGAAGAAGACUGACAAAAUUAUAACUUAGAGCUGUCAAGCUUUACC
This is a long non-coding RNA of Gallus gallus (chicken), 934 nucleotides long. The record is from Ensembl. Lineage: Eukaryota; Metazoa; Chordata; Aves; Galliformes; Phasianidae.